This is a long non-coding RNA of Salvia miltiorrhiza (redroot sage), 1725 nucleotides long. RefSeq lists it as uncharacterized. NCBI's taxonomy places the organism in Eukaryota, Viridiplantae, Streptophyta, Magnoliopsida, Lamiales, Lamiaceae. The transcript is spliced from 10 exons. The record is from RefSeq and is a predicted model, not a curated record.
UGGUCAUAGACUCUAAAAGCGUGGUUGUAGAUAAAACCGUGGUCUUUUAGCAUUUUUUCAUGCUAAAAGACCACGGUUUUUUAGUAGCCUAGUCGUUUCAGUGUGGUGGUACUUAAUGUAUGACAUCGGUUUUAAAAAACACAUGUUAAAGAGGUCAAAUAGUGUAGUCUUAUUGAAUUAAUUUAAUUAAUAAUUAAAAAAUACUUCAAAUCCCUAAUUAAUCCUAACACACAAAUUAACCGCGUCUACUCUUCACACUCCCGUCGCUGCGCUCUGCCGCGCCUCCGCGCGCUGCCUGCUCAGCCAUCUCCCUCCGCCGCCUGCUUCGCUUGCUCCGCCUACUCCGCGCGCCGCCUGCUUGGCUUGCUCCGCGCGCCGCCUGCUCCGCUGCCUGCUCCGCCGUCUGCUUCGCCUGAUCCGCCGCCGCCUAAUUCGCCUGCUUCACCUGCUCCGCCGCCGCCUGCUUCACCUGCUCCGCCGCCGCAUGCUCCGCCCCCUACCUGCCUGCUCCCAUAAGCUCAGCCCCUAAUUCGAAACCCUAGCCUAAAAUCAGAGAAGGAGAGGGGACUGGGGAAAGCUCAAAGUGAAAUUCGAGCACUGAGAGCAACUGAAGCGCUCAAGGAUAAGGCUUUGGAGGAGCUUGGAAGUGAAGUCAAAAGGUUGGAAGAGAAGCUAAGAUUGAAUGGAAACCAUCUUGAGCAGAAGAAUAUUGACAUCAAGAAGCUCACAGAUGAAAAGAAAGAAGCACUAGCUGCACAAUAUGCAGCUGAAGCUACUCUUAGAAGAGUUUACGCCAAAACCAGAAAAUAUUGAGAAGUGCUUUAGAAAGAGCAUUGAUAGUCGAGGAGGUUCAAAACCAGAACUAUGAGCUUAGGAGGCAAAUUGAGAUAUGCCAGGAGGAGAAUAAAAUACUUGAUAAGACACAUAGAUAUAAGGUUUUGGAGGUUGAAAAGCUUAGCCAAACCAUCAGAGAGCUUGAGGAGGCCAUACUUGCUGGUGGAGCAGCAGCCAACACCAUCCGUGAUUACAAGCGACAGUGGUGGCUAAUGAAUGGAAAGAUGAGAACGACAAAGUUAUGCCUGUUAAACAAUGGCUAGAAGAGAGAAGGCUGCUGCAGUGACCAUUGGAUUCUUACGAUCAUCGAUCCUUAUAAGGAGGAAGCUGCUAUGUUGGAUCCCUUUUAUGAUGGUAUUCAUGAUGGUGUUUGGAAACAAGUUGUUCAAUUGGCAUUAAAGCUUUUCAAUACCCAAAAGCAGAGGAAAUGAAGAAAGAUGUCUUCGUGGUCAGUAAUUAAGGUUCCUAAACAACCUGACAACUUUCAAUGUGGUUUCUAUGUAAUGAAAUACAUGAAGGAAAUAGUUGAGUGUGAUGGUUCUCAGACGAUUGGCUCGUUGCAUUCAUUGUUCGAUAAACCAAUGUACUCCAAAGAGGACAUUGAUGACGUGCGUAAAGAAUGGGCGGACUGUGUACAAGAUCAUAUACUUGAGUAAAGAGGUAUGACGUUGCUAGUUUGGAUGCAAAGUGGAAAAAUGUCAUAUACACUUGAAAGUUUUAGUUGACGCUUAGUGAAGAACAUUGCUUAGUUGCAUAUUUUGGUUGGUAGAAUUAUGUUUAAAGUACAAUGCAAAAAAUUCUAGUCCGUUGAAUUAAUUCCCGUUUCUAGAUUAUUGUAAUGACUCUUGAAUAUUAAACUUUAUUUAAAUUUAUGUGUUUUGAUUUGUGUUU